GAGAGAGAAGCUCUGCCUUCUCUCUAACUUUCUCAUCUUCUGCUUCACUGUUUCAUCGUCUUCUUCUCUACUGCUUCUGCAUAGGUAAGUAAAUCUGGCAGAGGUUGUUAUGGCAAAGAGGAGAGGUCGCCCAAGGAAAGAUUCAUCGCCUUCUUCUUUAUUGCUUCUGCAUAGGUAAGUAAAUCUAGCAGAGGUUGUUAUGGCAAAGAGAAGAGGUCGCCCAAGGAAAGAUUUAGUACCAAUUUAUGCGAGUGAUGUACCAAAAGCAGUUAACACUGUACCAAUGGUAGGUACCACUGUUUCAUUGAAAUCAGCUGAGAAAACUGUUCCAUGCAGUAAUAGAUCCACAACCAUCUGGAGUCUCCUUGAUACCAACGGCAAAUGUGAGGAUUACAGAGCCUCUCAUCAAUCCAGUAUCUGUUCCGAUGGAGCCUGAGAAUAGAGUUCAGAUCUGCAUGCAACAACCACCACCAAUUGAUGUUCCAAAGGCUGUUUGUGAUGAAGGUCCAAAAUCAGAUCCACCCAAACAGUGGGCUAGUCUUUUCCAGAGUAACCGACUUGCUGCAAAUGGUAUGUCGUUAGAGUAUAUUCCCCCUACACUUGUUAAUGGCAAACCAGUUGGUCAGCUGGUGA
This 633-nucleotide long non-coding RNA is filed under the name Nicotiana benthamiana. Its description in RNAcentral is "long non-coding RNA (NBEN_LNC017756)". Lineage: Eukaryota; Viridiplantae; Streptophyta; Magnoliopsida; Solanales; Solanaceae. The record is from RNAcentral.